Molecule: ribosomal RNA, 396 nt
Filed under: [Taeniolella] typhoides
Lineage: Eukaryota; Fungi; Ascomycota; Dothideomycetes; Pleosporales; Lindgomycetaceae
Description: partial small subunit ribosomal RNA
Rfam family: Eukaryotic small subunit ribosomal RNA
Source: RNAcentral
GCUUGUCUCAAAGAUUAAGCCAUGCAUGUCUUAGUGUAAAUAACUCUUAUGAAACUGCGAAUGGCUCAUUAAAUCAGUUAUCGUUUAUUUGAUAGUACCUUACUACUUGGAUAACCGUGGUAAUUCUAGAGCUAAUACAUGCUAAAAACCCCAACUUCGGGAGGGGUGUAUUUAUUAGAUAAAAAACCAAUGCCCUUCGGGGCUCUUUGGUGAUUCAUGAUAACUUAACGGAUCGCAUGGCCUUGCGCCGGCGACGGUUCAUUCAAAUUUCUGCCCUAUCAACUUUCGAUGGUAAGGUAUUGGCUUACCAUGGUUUCAACGGGUAACGGGGAAUUAGGGUUCGAUUCCGGAGAGGGAGCCUGAGAAACGGCUACCACAUCCAAGGAAGGCAGCAGG